GCACAGGGUGUCAGAUGGUGAGCCACGGUUCAACGAGAGACCACAGGGAAAUUUAAAGAGGAAAGUUUAUGGCUCACAAGUCCUGGAAGAAGUUCACGGCGUACCCUGAGUGGCCACACAGGGAGGUCAAGGCAGAGUACAGACAGAGAGAGCAGCGGAAUCAGGGGGACGUGCCUUCAUUAGGGUCCAUGGGUGGAGUGCUUUGGAGGUCCUGGCCAGGGCUGGAAAGCCAUCCCAGUGACUUCAUCCAACCCCACGUGUGCACGAAAGAGUUGAUUCAGCAGGUCUGGGAUCUUCAAACCCUGCACAUUCCAAAGAAAGUUCUGGCCCUUGCCUGUCUCAUAGAAGACAACCUCUAAGCUCUUAGAAUAUCCUGCUGGGGAAGGCGUCUCCCAGACCAAAGAGGACUCACAACCAUAUGGUGCAGUGACUUCCCCUGGAUCAGUACACCAGGGCUUGGACUAGAGGAUUCACGUGCACUCCACUCCUCAGAUAAGCCCUUAAUCACAACCCCUCAGAAGAGGUGUACCUCAGAGAUGUUGCAAGUUCGGUUCCAGACAACCACAAUAGAGUGAAUAUUGCAAUAAAGUGAGUCACAUGAAUUUUUUGGUUUCCCA
RNAcentral lists this long non-coding RNA (617 nucleotides) under Equus caballus (horse). RNAcentral's name for it is "lncRNA (ENSECAG00000060350.1)". Lineage: Eukaryota; Metazoa; Chordata; Mammalia; Perissodactyla; Equidae. The record is from RNAcentral.